UAGAGUUUGAUCCUGGCUCAGAUUGAACGCUGGCGGCAUGCCUUACACAUGCAAGUCGAACGGCAGCGCGGGGCAACGUGGCGGCGAGUGGCGAACGGGUGAGUAAUAUAUCGGAACAUACCCUAGAGUGGGGGAUAACGUAGCGAAAGUUACGCUAAUACCGCAUACGCACUAAGGUGGAAAGUGGGGGAUUCGCAAGAACCUCAUGCUCAUGGAGUGGCCGAUAUCUGAUUAGCUAGUUGGUGAGGUAAAGGCUCACCAAGGCGACGAUCAGUAGCUGGUUUGAGAGAACGACCAGCCACACUGGAACUGAGACACGGUCCAGACUCCUACGGGAGGCAGCAGUGGGGAAUUUUGGACAAUGGGGGCAACCCUGAUCCAGCAAUGCCGCGUGAGUGAAGAAGGCCUUCGGGUUGUAAAGCUCUUUUGUCAGGGAAGAAACGGUGAGUUCUAAUAAAGCUCGCUAAUGACGGUACCUGAAGAAUAAGCACCGGCUAACUACGUGCCAGCAGCCGCGGUAAUA
RNAcentral lists this ribosomal RNA (523 nucleotides) under uncultured bacterium. Its description in RNAcentral is "bacterial SSU rRNA". It matches the Rfam family "Bacterial small subunit ribosomal RNA", at positions 1 to 525 of the family's 1533-position model. The record is from RNAcentral.